GAUGAACGCUGGCGGCGUGCUUAACACAUGCAAGUCGAGCGAAGCACUUAAGUCUGAUUCUUCGGAUGAAGACUUUUGUGACUGAGCGGCGGACGGGUGAGUAACGCGUGGGUAACCUGCCUCAUACAGGGGGAUAACAGUUAGAAAUGACUGCUAAUACCGCAUAAGACCACGGUACCGCAUGGUACAGUGGUAAAAACUCCGGUGGUAUGAGAUGGACCCGCGUCUGAUUAGGUAGUUGGUGGGGUAACGGCCUACCAAGCCGACGAUCAGUAGCCGACCUGAGAGGGUGACCGGCCACAUUGGGACUGAGACACGGCCCAGACUCCUACGGGAGGCAGCAGUGGGGAAUAUUGCACAAUGGAGGAAACUCUGAUGCAGCGACGCCGCGUGAAGGAUGAAGUAUUUCGGUAUGUAAACUUCUAUCAGCAGGGAAGAAAA
RNAcentral lists this ribosomal RNA (441 nucleotides) under uncultured bacterium. Its description in RNAcentral is "bacterial SSU rRNA". It matches the Rfam family "Bacterial small subunit ribosomal RNA", at positions 28 to 451 of the family's 1533-position model. The record is from RNAcentral.